CUUUGGUUCAACCGAAGAAGUGCAUUCGAAACUUGGAAACUUGAGUGCAGAAGAGGACAGUGGAACUCCAUGUGUAGCGGUGAAAUGCGUAGAUAUAUGGAAGAACACCAGUGGCGAAGGCGGCUGUCUGGUCUGUAACUGACGCUGAGGCUCGAAAGCAUGGGUAGCAAACAGGAUUAGAUACCCUGGUAGUCCAUGCCGUAAACGAUGAGUGCUAGGUGUUGGAGGGUUUCCGCCCUUCAGUGCCGCAGCUAACGCAUUAAGCACUCCGCCUGGGGAGUACGACCGCAAGGUUGAAACUCAAAGGAAUUGACGGGGGCCCGCACAAGCGGUGGAGCAUGUGGUUUAAUUUGAAGCAACGCGAAGAACCUUACCAGGUCUUGACAUCCUUUGACCACUCUAGAGAUAGAGCUUUCCCUUCGGGGACAAAGUGACAGGUGGUGCAUGGUUGUCGUCAGCUCGUGUCGUGAGAUGUUGGGUUAAGUCCCGCAACGAGCGCAACCCUUAUUACUAGUUGCCAGCAUUUAGUUGGGCACUCUAGUGAGACUGCCGGUGACAAACCGGAGGAAGGUGGGGACGACGUCAAAUCAUCAUGCCCCUUAUGACCUGGGCUACACACGUGCUACAAUGGAUGGUACAACGAGUCGCGAGACCGCGAGGUUUAGCUAAUCUCUUAAAACCAUUCUCAGUUCGGAUUGUAGGCUGCAACUCGCCUACAUGAAGCCGGAAUCGCUAGUAAUCGCGGAUCAGCAUGCCGCGGUGAAUACGUUCCCGGGCCUUGUACACACCGCCCGUCACACCAUGAGAGUUUGUAACACCCAAAGCCGGUGAGGUAACCUUCGGGAGCCAGCCGUCUAAGGUGGGACAGAUGAUUAGGGUGAAGUCGUAACAAGGU
RNAcentral lists this ribosomal RNA (895 nucleotides) under Latilactobacillus curvatus. RNAcentral's name for it is "bacterial SSU rRNA". It matches the Rfam family "Bacterial small subunit ribosomal RNA", at positions 602 to 1497 of the family's 1533-position model. The record is from RNAcentral. Lineage: Bacteria; Bacillati; Bacillota; Bacilli; Lactobacillales; Lactobacillaceae.